Molecule: long non-coding RNA, 1600 nt
Organism: Coturnix japonica (Japanese quail)
Lineage: Eukaryota; Metazoa; Chordata; Aves; Galliformes; Phasianidae
Source: Ensembl
GGCCCUGAGCUGCGGCUGCUGGAGGACCUGGGAUGACCCCCCUGGGAAAAGCCCUCUGUCCCUGCUCCAGGCUCCCAGCAAGGCCCAGUUUCCAGGCACUGUCACCAAUGCCCAACCCAAGAAUGACAGAGGGGUGUCUGAAGCACAACCCUGAUGAGGCACAAAGCUCCAAACUGAGGACAGUCAUCCCUAUAAACCUCCCAGACCCAAUGCCUCAAGGGUAGGUCUCAGGGGGGAAGACUUCUCUUGUGCUUAUGGGCUCAGCCCAGAAGCAAUGGGGAGCCCAUGCUACAGCUCUGCUAUCUACUGGUGCAACACCAAGUCCUUCCUGCAUCUGUCUGCUGGUUGCCACAUCCUUACUAAUGUGCUCCAUUUUAAUACAUAUGCUUUUCUUUUUAGAAGCAUUGAAGUGGCUAACAACAUUUCACAUUACAUUUUUUAAUCCUCCACAAUUAAAACAAAUCUUUCCCCCCCUCUUUGCCCGGCUUUAAAAAACACGUCUUUUUGUUCAGCUCUUGCAGAAAAACAGGGAUGGAAACAACUCCUAAAAUCCCCAACCACAGGAAACAGAAUUGGUGCUUUUCCAAGUUAAGGACUCUGACAGAGUGAAACAUACAUGUUUAAUUUGAAAAACGUUGAUUCCAAAUGGAUUUUUCUUUUGAAAAAAAAAACAACAAAAAAACUUCCCCCCAGCAAGUCAAUAUUUGUAAUCAAAUGGAAAUUUCCUGUGGGAAUUAUUUAUUUUCACGAGGUCUGAUUCUUACAGGGGAAAAUUCUGCACUGGAAGGUUUAAGUUGCUGUAAACCAGCGUGAGGAAGGGGCUGGGAAAUCCCAUUCUAUGCUGCAAAGAGGCACCACUGCCCUGUGAUGGAAGUGAGCUGGUGAUAAAGCUGAAACUCCUCUUUGAUGAGGGAAAAGCAUGAGCAGAAAGGUGCACGGGAACUUUGGCCACACACACGUACAGAGCAGCCAGGUACUGCAGGAAGCAGCAGGAUGACAGAUUGCAGCUGCAGGCUGAGAGGUGCUGUGUGGGUGCUGGUAGGGUACGCUGGAAGCAAUAAUCCUCCUCCUACCAAGCUGCCCCUCCUCAUCCUGUUCUCACAUCCUGGGAUCUCCCUCCCUCAUUUGGAUGCUCCAGCCCCAGCACAGAGGAGAAAUGCAUCUGGGGGCACUCUGAGCUGCACUUUGCACUUAUUUCCUAGGAACCCAAAGGCCCUGGGGAUGGAUGCAUGGAAGUUAGCAGCACCUGCAUCCCUGCUCCCACCUCUCACUUGCCCAGGACGACCUACACCUUGGGCUUGGUGAAGAUGUAGACCAAGAACCUGGUGGCUCCGUGUAACCUCAUAUCAUUGCUGUACGUAUAUAUAUAUACAUAUAUGUAUGCCAUACAAAAACUAGAGCAAAAAUUGAUCUAUCCUUUUAAUUACUGAAUUUCAUGCAAUUCUUGAGAGCAAUACCCUCAUACCCUGCUGGAUUUGCCCUGGGGAAAUGUGGGGGUUUCUCCAGCUGUUCCCACCAUUGCUCGGUGUCAUGACCCAGGACACAACUAACACAAGACCCUGCUGAAAUGCAGAUGGUGAUGCCAGAAGGCACUGACGUG